Molecule: ribosomal RNA, 560 nt
Filed under: uncultured bacterium
Lineage: Bacteria
Description: bacterial SSU rRNA
Rfam family: Bacterial small subunit ribosomal RNA
Source: RNAcentral
ACGGGUGAGUAACACGUGGAUCAUCUACCUUCUAGUGGGGAAUACCUCCGGGAAACUGGAGACAAUACCGCAUAAGCUCGUAAGAGGAAAGCAGCAAUGCGCUGGAAGAGGAGUCCGCGGCUGAUUAGCUAGUUGGCGGGGUAACGGCCCACCAAGGCGAAGAUCGGUAGCCGGCCUGAGAGGGCACACGGCCACACUGGCACUGAAACACGGGCCAGACUCCUACGGGAGGCAGCAGUGGGGAAUCUUGCACAAUGGAGGAAACUCUGAUGCAGCGACGCCGCGUGAGCGAUGAAGCCCUUCGGGGUGUAAAGCUCUUUCGACGGGAACGAUGAUGACGGUACCCGAAGAAGAAGCUGCGGCUAACUACGUGCCAGCAGCCGCGGUAAUACGUAGGCAGCAAGCGUUGUUCGGAAUUACUGGGCGUAAAGAGUGUGUAGGCGGUGCUCCAAGUCUGUUGUGAAAUCUCCCGGCUUAACUGGGAGGGUGCGGCGGAAACUGGGGUGCUAGAGGAUGGGAGAGGUAAGCGGAAUUCCUGGUGUAGCGGUGAAAUGCGUAGA